GUGACAUGCGGAGGCUGGGUGGGACGUUUCCUGCCAAACUGGACCCCAAGGUUUAUGGAAAGGUCCCAGGACAUCUCUGGUGGACUCACACAUGGAACUUGCUCUCUCUCGCUCUGGAACCUUCUUAUUCGCUGAAGGUCUCUUCGUUGAUGUGGGAGCUACAAUUUCCUGAGAAUAGGGAAAGUAGAGGCAACUGUGCUGAGAUGGAAAACUCAUAACCUGAACCGGCGAGUCUGGAAUCCCUGAACUCAAGAGGCUGAGUCGGAAGGAUCAUCAUGAGUUUGAGAAGCUGCCAAAUCCUUGGGAGGAGAAGGACACCGAGGGGGGGGCAUUUAAAAGUCUCCCUAAAAGAAACUACAAAGCUAACAGUCUCUGAGUCUCAUAGUUUCUCUUGAGAAGUGAGUUGUUGAUCAGGUCCAGAGUCUUCGUGGGACUAUCCAGGAAAAGAUGACAAAAAUCUCUUCACAUGAUUGUCCAGGAAAAGCUUUUCUUGAGUCCCACUGUGAACACAAAGUUGUGCCCAUGAUCCUGCUGUGGUGUCUUCCCAGAAGAGUGGAGCUCAAGGGAGACUGGGAAUGGAAGAAGCAAGAAGUUCUGACAAUACCAAUUGUUUAGGUCUAGGAUCCAUUGAGGUAGCCUGGUGGAUAAAAGGAAGCCUAACAAUGUGAGUUAAUCCUCAGGACCCACAUGGUGGAAGGAGAGAACCAGCUCUCACGAGUUAUCCUCUUCACAUAAGCUCUGAAACAUGUGAAACAUGCGGAACACGUGCCCCUUCCCCCCACCGCUGCUGUCCCACCACCACACAGCACCCUUGUAGGAGACAGACACGGCAGACUGACACAGCUGUUGUGACCACACUCCCCAUGCCUGGCUGAGGGCCAUUUGAGUCUGGAGAUGAAGAGCAUUGUGGAGAAAUUUUUCUCUGCAGAAAAGUUCCCAAGUCAAUACUGCCAGCUUUCCCCUUGGUCCCCCACCCUCACCCCUUGGAGCUGAGGCCUGAACCCAGGGCUAAUCAAACCACUGAGCUAAAUCUCCAACCACUCCCUUGGUGACUUUUGUCACUCUCUACCUGAGGUGCCCAAACCUUGUCAAACUGUAAGAAACCUUUUGUGACAGGCCAUGAUGACACAGGGUAAUGCCAGUGGGUAACCAGUUUAUCCACCUGGAAGGAUCCCCAGAUACAGGCCCAGUUUGUUUAUUUUUUUAAUUUGUUAUAUGCAUGUGUGCUUUGCCCGUAUACAUGUCUGUGCCCCGAAAGCAUGCAGUGCCUUGGAAGUCAGAA
This 1282-nucleotide long non-coding RNA is filed under the name Cricetulus griseus (Chinese hamster). Its description in RNAcentral is "lncRNA (ENSCGRG00015038153.1)". Lineage: Eukaryota; Metazoa; Chordata; Mammalia; Rodentia; Cricetidae. The record is from RNAcentral.